GGCUGGAUGUAGAAAUGGGUAGAUCAGCCUAACGCAAACUGCAUACAGGAAGCUCCAAAAGAUACAGUGAUGUUGUCUUUUUUAGUUUUGAAUUGUAAUACAAAUGAUUUGCAAUGCAUUUUUGCAUUUUAAACUUCUGAUAACUGAUAAUGAGAACGAGUGGGCUUUCUGCAAUCAAAUGCACUACGAACACGUUGUGGGUAGAAGAGGAAGACACUACGGCGGUUCACAAAGAGAUGUAAUAAUUAACGUUAAAUGGUUCAUCCUGAAGCCGUGACAACUUUCCGUUCAUCCUGAAACAAGGAAACAGCCACUCCUGCAGACGUGGAGAGAUUGCCUUUACCAGAUGCUCCAAGAUUAGUUAUUCAAGGGAACAAAUUUGUUUCCAACAAAUGGAUGCUAACCAUCGAAAAACAUGGUGGUGAUGACUCCACAUUCAAAUUUCACUGCAGGCCUGGCCACUUUGUUUGCAACCUUCUAUACCUUCAAUUUGGAAUACCAAGAGGAGGCUUCAUGUGUCCUUGAAUUCAUCCAAAGGUGCUUUGUGGGAAUCAACCCAGACACCGGCUCCAAGGCUUCAAGUGGAAAGAAAAAACGUCACACAAUCAAUGUAAAUGUCUGCACUCUUUUACGCAAGCUCAUGGACUUUGACUGGCUUGGUUUUUAGGCACUCGCAAAGCCAUUCUCUCAUUUUCUAAAUGUUUUUUCAAUGUCUUUCAAUUUCCAGGCUAUUGAUCGAAUAAUGGUGAAAUUAUGCUGAGUUUGAGUUGAAUG
Long non-coding RNA from Alosa alosa (allis shad), 774 nucleotides. RefSeq lists it as uncharacterized. NCBI's taxonomy places the organism in Eukaryota, Metazoa, Chordata, Actinopteri, Clupeiformes, Clupeidae. The transcript has 5 exons. The record is from RefSeq and is a predicted model, not a curated record.